GAUGAACGCUAGCGGGAGGCUUAACACAUGCAAGUCGAGGGGCAUCACGAGGUAGCAAUACUUUGGUGGCGACCGGCGCACGGGUGAGUAACACGUAUGCAACCUACCCUGUACAGGGGAUAACCCGGAGAAAUUCGGACUAAUAUCCCAUGCAAUUAUUGGAGGGCAUCCUUUGAUAAUUAAAGCUCAGGCGGUAUAGGAUGGGCAUGCGGAACAUUAGCUAGUUGGUAGGGUAACGGCCUACCAAGGCUACGAUGUUUAGGGGACCUGAGAGGGUUAUCCCCCACACUGGUACUGAGACACGGACCAGACUCCUACGGGAGGCAGCAGUGAGGAAUAUUGGUCAAUGGGCGCAAGCCUGAACCAGCCAUCCCGCGUGAAGGAAGAAGGCCCUAUGGGUUGUAAACUUCUUUUCCAGGGGGUGAAUAAUUCCGAUGUAUCGGGAGAUGACGGUACCCUGGGAAUAAGCAUCGGCUAACUCCGUG
This 485-nucleotide ribosomal RNA is filed under the name uncultured bacterium. RNAcentral's name for it is "bacterial SSU rRNA". It matches the Rfam family "Bacterial small subunit ribosomal RNA", at positions 28 to 507 of the family's 1533-position model. The record is from RNAcentral.